CGGCGGGGGCGCGUCGCGGAGGAGCCGGGCCGCCGCCUGCGCCGGAAGAGCCGCUCCGACUCUGGCCCCGCACCGCCGAGCCCGCGCGCGGGAGGGCGAGGGGCGACCGCGCUCGGGGAGGGGGACCCGGGAGCUGGUGGUGGCUUCGGGGAUUUUGGUUUUGAUUCAACUCCUCAAGAGACAGGCGACACACUUAAGGAACAAGAAGUGGCGAGAGCCACAGGGCGCUGGGAAUACUGGGGCAGGCCCCGUGCUGGGUCCUUGUGGAAACCUGAGGUCUUAGCCUUCAGCCGUCGAGUCCUUUGCAAAAGACUCCAGGCGGGAAAAAGUUAAAAAAAAAAAAAAAAAAAAAAAA
Molecule: long non-coding RNA, 355 nt
Filed under: Rattus norvegicus (Norway rat)
Lineage: Eukaryota; Metazoa; Chordata; Mammalia; Rodentia; Muridae
Description: long non-coding RNA NONRATT007947
Source: RNAcentral